Molecule: long non-coding RNA, 716 nt
Filed under: Haliotis rufescens (red abalone)
Lineage: Eukaryota; Metazoa; Mollusca; Gastropoda; Lepetellida; Haliotidae
Description: uncharacterized LOC124118482, transcript variant X1
Source: RNAcentral
AUCGUGACCUAACCUUUACUCUCCCACUUAGCCCGACCGUGAUUUAACAUUUCCCCUGGAAGUCUGGUCAAAAUGGGCUGGGGGCUUGGCUUGGAACAGUUAGAGCAAUCUCGAGGCAAGCCGUGUCAACAUGCAAACGUCUGUUGUGCCAACCGUCCCAGAAUUUAACCUCUUCGACAAACCCACGAACACGGAUGUUGAAACACCAAAGAUAAUAGUCUGAAUUAAUCCAGUGACGUAGCUAUACUACGCAGCACAAGAGGUUACGGAAAGGGGCGAGUGGUGACGAAUGCUAACAGACCAAGACCACCGGAUAUGCAUUAUUUGUAGCACUGUUACCAUAGUAACGCUUUGUCUAAAGAGUAAUCAUCUUGACGACAUGAUGCUGAUCUGCUACGCAACGAGCUAUCCAUUAUGUCAUAUCUCCAUAAGAGUAUUAGUGUAAGAGUUCUUUAAUGCGAUAAUCAAGGCCAUGGACUUAGUCACAUCCUGAUAUCACGUUAUCUGUGACAUUGUGGUGGCAACUGGAAAUGCGCAAUUGCAUUUUUGCUCGUAAACAAAAUUAAGAAGAAAAAAAUUCCCCUUGACCUCAUCUAAAACAAGUAUCCGAGCAGUCCAUUCAGAAAAAGGGGACCCAAAAUGAAAACUCAUUAAAUGGAAGAUGGUUUUAAUGUCAUCACGCCAACUGAACUGACUCAUCGGCUGGGAAAAUGAAA